UACGUAGGGGGCAAGCGUUGUCCGGAAUCAUUGGGCGUAAAGAGCGUGUAGGCGGCCCGGUAAGUCUGUUGUGAAAGUCCAGGGCUCAACCCUGGAAAGCCGAUGGAUACUGCCGGGCUAGAGUUCGGAAGAGGCGAGUGGAAUUCCUGGUGUAGCGGUGGAAUGCGCAGAUAUCAGGAGGAACACCAACGGCGAAGGCAGCUCGCUGGGACGGUACUGACGCUGAGGCGCGAAAGCGUGGGGAGCGAACAGG
This 253-nucleotide ribosomal RNA is filed under the name uncultured bacterium. Its description in RNAcentral is "partial 16S ribosomal RNA". It matches the Rfam family "Bacterial small subunit ribosomal RNA", at positions 524 to 776 of the family's 1533-position model. The record is from RNAcentral.